GCCGGAGCCGGAGCCAGAGACGGGGAAGCGGCCAAGGACUGAAGUCAAAGUUUAAAGUUCCUGCUAAAGUCCCUUAGCAAGUGACUCCAUUCCUCUGUCUGGAAAAAGUUUUGAGAGUGUAUUUGUUCCUUCCUUGGAGUGCAGAAGAAUAUUAGAAGAGGCAAACUGCAGCUAAUCAGAUGGGAUGAUAGUGAGUCCGAAGUUGAUGACUUGUUGCUGGACCAGUAUCUGCACAGGCGAAAGAAGCAUUUAAUGUUAACCUUCACCAUUCUUUGGACAAUUACCUUAAAUCUAUCAGUCAUUGAGCCAGUUUUUUUUUGUUUUGGUGAACUAUUCACAGACUAAGAAUGGAAUGAAAGAUUUCUGAGGAAAUGGAAACUGUUCAAAUUCAUCAUUUUCAAAAAUACUGUAUAUCAUAGUGUAUAAAUUUCCCUGCUGUUUAAGACAACCUGUCUUUUGGAUGCCAGAAUGCAUGUUUAAGACUUUGUGUUGUGUAAGUUGACUUCUGUCACCUAAUAAAUCUGUAGAGCUUUAUUCUGA
Non-coding RNA from Chiloscyllium plagiosum (whitespotted bambooshark), 540 nucleotides. The record is from RefSeq and is a predicted model, not a curated record. NCBI's taxonomy places the organism in Eukaryota, Metazoa, Chordata, Chondrichthyes, Orectolobiformes, Hemiscylliidae.